CCUGCAGCGUUUCAUCCGUCCUGCUGCUGAACUUCCAGAGGGAGGAGCGUCCGGCGGGAAUGGCAGGUCCACGGGGAGCUGUGUUGUUGAGAGCUCCGAGCAACAGUCGCUACGCGUUCAGGACACACAGGAAGAGCAAACAAAGCAUGCGGGGGGCAACCUUCACCCCAUCCCAGUCCCUGGUUGAUGAGGAAGAAGCUCCAGGUGAAGAGCAGGAGGAGCUAAAGCAGAGUCCUGCUGGAAGGCGCCAUGAUCCCACAGAAGAUUCCCGUUCACCCGCCUGAACACGCUGGCCGGAAGUAAACAAACAGGAGCCGUCCGGGUCUGCUGCACGGAGCUCCCCACCCAGGCGUUCCUGACCCCGGCGUUCCUGACCCCGGCGUUCCCGGCGCUCCCUCUGACCUCCUUUCCUCAGAGCAGUGUGGGGUUAUGGAGCUCACACCCCCACGCCGGCUCCCAUUGGUCUUCCCGCUCGGCCCCCUCUCCGUGGAGACUCAUUAACAAUACGAUGAGGCUGAGCGAUCCCGACCUGCCGGUAAGGCUCCCGGGGGGGUGGGGGCCUCCUGAUUGUUCAGCCGGCCGGGGGGGGGGGGGUUGACAGCUCCCAGAUGGAAAGUCCUUCCCUCAGGUUUUCCCGCUAACGUCCGUCGUCUCCAUUCGUCCACGUUUGUCCUCCUUUUGACAGCGAGCGUUCCAGAAAGUGAGGACGUGACGUCCAGGACUGGCGUGAAGGCGUUUCCUCGCCGUCUUCCUGCUUCUACCGUCAGGUAGUGCUCAGGAGAAGUGGGAGGGGAGCAGGUGUGGCCUCUGUCCUUCAGGUAGGUUUGCAAAUGAUCGCACACUCCUCACACACAAACACACCCUCCCGCACAAAGCCGUCAAACCGGAUCGGCCUCCUUUGUGUUUGUGCUGAAAGAACCCGAUCAGACGUGGAGCCUCCUGGUUACCAUGGAGACCGGUUUGACAUGUCCUCUCUCUCCUGAGACGCCAGCAGCUGGAAAGCCUCUCACACCUCAACCAGGAACUGACAGACGCUGAACUCCCAACCAGGAGCAAUUACCUCCUGGAGCCCAGAGGCCUGACGUCCAGCAAGACGGACGUCCUGCGGAUCAAUAGCAACAAGCCCAUCGAUCAGAAACGUGAGACCUUCACUGGGAUGUAACGCCGCUGAAAGCACUUCACUCCUGCACUGUCCAUCAUCAGCCGGCUUCCUUCUAAGAAACAAGGCUAUGUUUGUGGAAUUUCAGAAGACGAUCAUGGAAACGAGGAGAAAACGUAACCAAUUCUCUCUACAAACAUGUUUCCUGUGUGUCAGUGGUCCGUGUCACUUCUUCACAGACGUAGCAGAACCUCCUCCUUCCUCGUACACUAAGCAGAAACACAUUUUGCUGCUUUGGUUGGUGAAACGAUGAUCCUGCAGAUGAAUCUGUGUCAGGAACACAGGAAGCCAGUUACUGAAUGGCCUAGUUCCACUGGGAGCGUGGUGACACUGGACACAGUGUGAGGGCCCGCCGACGCCCCCCCCGGGGGGGGAGUGGAGCUGGGGCUGCCAUUGGCUGCCGGCUCAGACAAAAGCUCGUGUAAACACGCUGGUAUCUACAGGCAACCGGCGAGAAUGAGGCUCUUUUGUGAGGAUUCUGGACGCGGCGCAUUCCGCCGCCUCUUCCUGUUUCUAUGGACGGGAGCGCAGAGGGUUAACGGGGAACGAACGGAGGGAAAGGGCCGUGACCAGAAGGUUCUGCUGGGACGACGGAUCAGAGAGAAGCUCCUCAGGAAGAGUCACCGUGUCGUCUGUACAGGACACUUCUGAACCUGAAUAUCUCCAGACUCUGCAUCCUACUGAAUGACCUGAGGACAUGUGGAGCUUUUCAGUGAUGCUACAUGUGAGGAGGAGGCGGGGCUCUGGGAAUAACAGUUUGGUCACCCUGAGCAGCGGUAGAACCCGCAUGUUCAGCUGAACUGAAGCUGAAUAAACAGACUUUGGUCAAACCUG
Molecule: non-coding RNA, 1993 nt
Organism: Oryzias latipes (Japanese medaka)
Lineage: Eukaryota; Metazoa; Chordata; Actinopteri; Beloniformes; Adrianichthyidae
Source: RefSeq, a predicted model, not a curated record